ACCUUUAGCAACGAGUGUUUUCUUUCAAGUGGUGGUGCUCGGUAGUAAAAGGAGGACAUUUUUUCCUUGUAUGAAGAACGGCGAUGGCCGGAAAUGCUAUACACAGUGCCAUUAUUAAACGAAUGUGAGGAAUUAAACGUAGUGUGGAAAGCAAGCGUUAGUAGUUUGGUGUUUGCUUCAAGGAUUAUAUUCUUCUGACUGAUAGAGUAUAAUCCAGAUAGAGGGAUUGAAUAAAAUAUAGACACGACAAACAUUACGUGUUCGCCACACACUAUUACGCAGUGAGUACAAACAUUGAUGUAUAUCUAUGUCUUUCAAACUAUGAUGAUGACGAUAGUCCCUUUUUUUCAACCACGUCGAACCUUUAUCAAUGUACU
Molecule: long non-coding RNA, 377 nt
Organism: Anopheles moucheti
Lineage: Eukaryota; Metazoa; Arthropoda; Insecta; Diptera; Culicidae
Exons: 3
Source: RefSeq, a predicted model, not a curated record